Molecule: ribosomal RNA, 336 nt
Filed under: uncultured bacterium
Lineage: Bacteria
Description: partial 16S ribosomal RNA
Rfam family: Bacterial small subunit ribosomal RNA
Source: RNAcentral
CCUACGGGCGGCUGCAGUAGGGAAUCUUCCACAAUGGGCGAAAGCCUGAUGGAGCAACGCCGCGUGGGUGAAGAAGGUCCUCGGAGCGUAAAACCCUGUUGUUAGAGAAGAAAAAGCGUGAGAGGAACUGUUCACGUUUCGACGGUAUCUAAACAGAAAGCUACGUCUAACUCAGUGCCCGCAGCCGCGGUAAUACGUAGGUUGGAAGCGUUAUCCGGAUUUAUUGAGCGUAAAGGGAACGCAGGCUGUCUUUUCAGUCUGAUGUGAAAGCCUUCGGCUGAACCGGAGUAGUGCAUUGGAAACUGGGAGACUUGAGUGCAGAAGAGGUGAGCGGAA